UUAAACUUUUUUUUAUGGAGGGUUUGAUCCUGGCUCAGGACGAACGCUGGCGGCGUGCUUAACACAUGCAAGUCGAACGGAGAUAGAAGCUUGCUUCUAUCUUAGUGGCAAACGGGUGAGUAACGCGUGGGUAACCUACCCUAAAGUGGGGGAUAACAGAUCGAAAGGUCUGCUAAUACCGCAUACCCUUCAAGCACAAAAGUAUUUGAAGGAAAGGAGCAAUCCGCUUAAGGAGGGGCCUGCGUCCUAUCAGGUAGUUGGUGAGGUAACGGCUCACCAAGCCUAUGACGGGUAGCUGGUCUGAGAGGAUGAUCAGUCACACUGGAACUGAGACACGGUCCAGACUCCUACGGGAGGCAGCAGUGGGGAAUAUUCCGCAAUGGGCGAAAGCCUGACGGAGCGACGCCGCGUGGAUGAUGAAGACCCUAUGGGUCGUAAAAUCCUUUUGUGAGGGAAGAAGAUCUGACGGUACCUCACGAAUAAGCCACGGCUAACUACGUGCCAGCAGCCGCGGUAAAACGUAGGUGGCAAGCGUUGUCCGGAAUUACUGGGCGUAAAGAGUGCGUAGGC
RNAcentral lists this ribosomal RNA (570 nucleotides) under Spirochaetota bacterium. RNAcentral describes it as "bacterial SSU rRNA". It matches the Rfam family "Bacterial small subunit ribosomal RNA", at positions 1 to 576 of the family's 1533-position model. Lineage: Bacteria; Pseudomonadati; Spirochaetota. The record is from RNAcentral.